Long non-coding RNA from Hydractinia symbiolongicarpus, 19294 nucleotides. RefSeq lists it as uncharacterized. The transcript is spliced from 2 exons. Lineage: Eukaryota; Metazoa; Cnidaria; Hydrozoa; Anthoathecata; Hydractiniidae. The record is from RefSeq and is a predicted model, not a curated record.
CACGAUUCGACAAGAUCACAUACAGAGCUUGUGAUUUCUUUGCUGGCGUAUCUCAAAGUAACGAUGCAGUUAGAGAGAGCUUCUUGAGCAAUGCCCUCAAACGUUGGUUUCUGAAAUAUUAAUCAAUAAUUGACUAAGUGCUUAGAGAAAAUAAAAUGUAAAGCAAGAACGCUGUGUACAGUAUAGAUAAGUUGCAAAUGUUUACAAAGUUCCGUAUAUGCACGCGCAUCUUUGAAGGCAAUAAAAGAAGGACCACGUAAGAUUAACUAUUUCCUUGAAUUUAUGUAAUUAUGUAAUAAACGAACUAAAAGGAGCUGGAAUUGGUUUUUCUUAACUAUUAUUUUCUCUUUUAAAGAUCAGGUUUUAAUUAUUUUAAAAAGUAAGUUGCUUUUUCAACUUGAUUUCUUCGAUCGUUGCGGUCUGUUCUUUAUAUUUCUUGCUUAUGUGGAUGCUCGUGCAUCUCCAUUGUUUUAGACGCAAAAUCAAAACAACUACGUCACGCUGCAACUUAUCUAUAAGAAUGUCUUUUGCUACGUCAGCUACUAACAAAAAGAAACAGGACCACGUACCCCGAUGCAGGUGUACAGUUUCGAUAAACACACCAAAGUUCUGCGCACGGUAGGAUACCACAUCGCUUGGAGGUCGACAACUGCCGUCUGAUUUUCUGUAAAUAAGUGACAAGUACACAUGUCAACAAAGUUCAAGUCAGUAGUAUGAACGAAAAAAAAGAUUUCGCAAAAUGUGCGUAAACGAUAAUCUCAGAGCAUAGAGGUGAGACACAAAAAAGAACUCUUGUCACAACCAACGUUCGUUUUUCCAAGAUAUAAUCUGUCUGUUACAUAUUUUUUUUUGUUAAUAUUAUUUGUAUUAAAGUUGCUUAGCAAUCUCACAAAUUUCAGUACAGUUUCUUAUAAACUGAUUUGCUUUAUAUAUAACGUAUAUUUAUAGUGUACUGCAAACGCCAAAUCUAGCAAAAAAAUUAUUACUUAAUAACAAGCACGACAUGGUGAAGUAAGGCGAAAGUAAAAGCAGUUUGAGGAAAAAUUAGAAUACACAAAAACUGUGGCUCAAAGAUAAAUAUGCGGUACUUACCAGUUCUAUUAAAUGUCUUCUUCUCUAAAUCCGUGUCACCGUCUGAUGAGUUCAACUAAUAUGAAAAAAUUCUCAAUCUUAUUCUUGUGUAGAAAUCAACUAAGAAUAUUUCCCUCGAAUAAAAUACUCCUCAAGGCGAAUUUUAAAUGCAAACAUUCUGACCAAUAACAGGGUGACCAUUAAUAAAAUGAGUAAGGAUAUUAAGGAGAAUUAAGGAGACAAAUUUACAUUUUCUAAGGAUAUUUUCCUGCGAACGAGAAUACAAAAAUAAAAAAAUAAGGAUAAUUAAGGAGAAAAACAAUUUUAGUUCUCUAUAUUUAAUGUUACAUACUAUGUUCUAUGAUAAGGAAAUUAUACAUAUUAUACAAAUAUACACAUAAAUUAUGCCCUGAAAGGUAGAAAAUAUAGGAUUUGAGGUAACACAGAAAAAUGUCUUAUUUCACUGGUGAUGAACAAUCCAUGAACACAUUUCGAAAAAAGUUACGAUCAAAAAAUUAAGAAAUAUGGAGAAAUUAAGGAGAAUAGCUAAAACUUCAAUUUUUUUAAGUAUAUUUAAGUACUUUUAACGAGAUUUUCUUUUUCUAAGGUUAUUUAAGGAAUUUAAGGAGGAGUGGUCAGCCUGAAUAAGAAAUUUUACGCGAUGGGAUACGUUUACUUUUAAACCACGUGAUCAAACUAGGGAUGGAAAAGUGCUGUAAAAGUUUAGUUCCAACAAAUUACCAUAGAAUAUGUUAAAGUUAUUAACGUCCAACAUUGCUUGUACAAAAAUUCUUCCCUUAAUGAAUACUUAACGCUUAUCUCUUCCACUUCAAAACAAGUUGAUUUGAGUGGAAGGUAAGCUUUAUAAAAUUAAACAUACCAUCAUCAUAAGUUUGUCUGGAUAAGCGAGAUCACCUGGUGCUGGCGCAUAACUAGCUAUAUCCUUGUGAAUGUAGGCCUGAAACAGAGGUUAAAACGACCUGCAUAAACAUUUUAGUAUCUUACCCCAUAAUUUUAGAGAAAAAAACUGGGUCUCCAAAUUGAUUUAUCAAAAUCUUGCUAAACCGUCUCGAUUACAAUUUUCUUUAAUUUCUGGAAAUCAGUUGAGUAACUCGUUCUUUGCGAAAGUCGCAAAAAUUAAUUAAGUCCAUGAGAAAAUUAAUCCCCUUAAGGCAGACGAAAUCCCCAAACUUUAAUAACCACCGAGAAUUACCACUACCGUAAAUGACAGAUUAAGCGAACCGUGUCCAAUAAGCAACCCUGUCGAAUAAGCGCCACGGGGUUAGGAAAAUAUAUGUAAAUAAGUGCCCCUGCUCUAAUAUUUGAAUCAGCAGAAAUAAUUUUUACUAUCCCUUUGAAUUCCUCACAACGACGAUAAAGAUAAAAAUGAAAAUAUUAAAAUUUCAUAAAAGAUAGAUUAUUACUAUUUUAUUUCUUUAGUUUUUGUUUGUAUUUCUAUUUUUAUUCAUAAAAGUUAUGGGAAAAAAAGUUUAAAAAAAUUUAAUGCUGAAUUAACCGCCCCUGCCCAGCAAGCGCCCCCUGUCAAGAUGAAAUUUUAAAAAAUGCUCCCCAGCCGCCUUUUUUGUAAUUUACAGUAAUCACCUGCGUGCGAUACACGAGUCGUUCUUGUACAUCCUCAAGCAUUUCAGAAGCUAUCACUUGAAAAGACAAAAGCUGCUCAGCUAAAGUACAAAAGCACAGAAAUCAUUAUGUAAAACAGUUUAGAAGGAAUUAUACAAUGAACUAAACAAUGACGCUGAGUCAGCAACGUACCUUUCCUUUGAACAUGAUCUUCUAACAUUUCAACCUGAGAAAAUAGAGAGGUAUAGUGAAACUCAACUGUUACGUGAUGCAAACAUACGAAAAGCAACAACAAACAGAUUUGACAAACCUUCAAUAUGUUGCAGAGUUCAGCUAAUGUUUCCAUAUGGGUCAUGUGAAUGAUAAGAGGGCGAAAUGUCUCGUAUAAUAUACCACAUAAAUUCUCCAUCAGUGUACUAACAAAAAAAAACAUAACAAAGAUAGUGACACUUAUUGACACUUAUUGACAAGUAUAUUCUUAUGAAGAUACUUUAUCCGAGUAUUGAGUCGUUUUCAGGGUGUCUGGCAAAUUUAAGUUUUUCAAGGUUUUUCUCCCAAGAAUGAUACAAAGUCACCUAUACUGAUUUCAAGCUUUUCAAGGUCUUCAAGAUCCAGUAAACAACCUGUUUCAGAUGUGUAUUCACCGAGACACAUAAAUAUUUGUAUACAUCGAGACAAACGUUUGCAUAUAUAAUGUUUGUGUAUAUUGAGACAAUGUCUAUAUGCAUCGAGACAAAAAACUAUCUGUGUACAUGGGGAGUCAAUGUGACUGAAAUUUUACAAAUUGGGCUAUUGUUUUAAAUCCAAUGAUACACGAUGAUAUUCAACUGAGGUGAAGAAAUGUACACUAAUGAAGAGCACCUUCUUUAAAUUAAUCACAAGCAUAACAAAAGUUAAGAGAUACAAACCCUCUCAAAAAACUGUCUUACUCAAAAUUCUGUUUUCCUUUUGUGAAAUAUUCAUGGUAUAAUUGGUAUUCGUCUUGACAUACAUGAACCAUAAAAGAACAGCCAGAACGAAACUAAAAGAAAGUAAGUCACAGUGUAAUUGGUGCCUAAGCUGGCUUUAACUGCUUUUGAUUGUAAUAGAAAAAAAAUUAAAUUUAGAGUUGGGAAGACAAUUUUAUCUUGCAGAGUUCUACAUAAGAAUUCCAGUCCAUGCAAAAAGGAUUUCUGUGCAUGAAACUGUACUUAAAAGUUUUAACUUUUCUCGUAAAAAUUUGUAUCUUUAUGCUUUACAAUCUCACAUGUACCAAAAGAAAUACUACAAUCUUUAAACAACAUGUAGAAGAGGUAAUGCUUUUUCCUAAAAUGGUGCUGUUCCCUCUCGAUACAGCAAGAAAGCUUUUUGUUCUUAGCAUUUAGUUCUUAUGUGUGCUAGCUUUGAGAUAAAGUCCACAUGAAUUACGAUAAACACUAUGUACUAAUACAACUACUGCAAGACAUAACAUCUGAAACAAGUUCAGUUUCAUAAGUAGCUAUACUUUGUUAUAAAUCAAACAUUACCAAUGUGCAUGGAUUCUUAGCGUGUUGUUGUGCAAAUUUAUGCACAGUUUCUGUAACGAAAGGUGAAAUUAGUUGCCAACGGUAUUCCAGGUAACACUGUUGACAGUCUGAAAUCAGUGAUUCGUACCUGAAAAAUUAAAAUAAACAAUUUUAACUUUCAUUCAAUAUGUCUUCUUUUAAAAAUAACUUGUUUUUGUCUUUUGUUUCCUGCACUAAGCAUUAUCAAUUCGAUUUAUUAUGGAAAAUGCUUUAUAAAAUUUUUUUGUUUUUAAUGAACACGAUUAAUAUCAUAUCAAGUUUUUAAAAAUAUACAUAAAUAUAGCUUUACUCUGCAUUAUUUUCUGAUCGUUCCUCAAUCUGCUCCAUGAUGUUCUAUAAAUAAAAAAAUGACGUAACUGUCCUAUUUUAUUCGGAGUAUUACACUUUUUUUUAUAAAAAACGCCAAAUUUAACAAUCGCCAUCAAAACUGCUGAAAAGUCCAAAAUUAAACAGUUUGCUUGGCAAAAAGUUGGUCAAAUGACACAGCCUUUCUAUGGUGCAAAUUUGAGUCCUGAGUAUAGUUUGUCAGAUAAACCCUUGCAACUUAUAUAUAUAUAUAAUAUAUGUAGCUAAACAAUGUUUAAGGAGUAAAAACACAAUUGUUUACAGUCAACAUAAAAUCAAUGCUGAAUAUAAAGUUACCUUUACUCGCAUUGACUGGGUCUUAAACUUUCCAUAAAGAGCUGUGUAUGAACUGUCGGUAAAAUUCAUUGCAGGUUGGUUAUCCUGAAUAUAGCAGAAGUUGUUUUGUGAAAAUGAGGAAAUUACCCUUAGAAAAUUAUACUUGUACAACAAGGAUUUCUAGGUAAAUGUAUACUCAAAAAAAAUAAAAUGAGCAAGAUUUAUUUCACAAUUAAGUUGUAUCAUGCAAGGUUCACAACAUUAGCCUCACAUGAUUUUCUCCACAUUAAAGGAGAGUGAGACCAACCUUUUUUGAGCAAUUGGUAAAUUGGAUAUUUAUUUAUUCGUUGUUAUACUAGAUCAUAUUAAAGUUACAUUAAUUAGGCCUGACAGAGGCGUAGCUAUAGGUUCUAGGAUUGGAGGGGGAGAUUGCAGAUUUUUAGGGUUUAAGUGACUAAGAGACAUGUGUGAGGCAUUAGCCUUCUAACCUUGAAAAACCUCUGGAUGAACUGAAAUGCAUUCAAAUUUUAAGACUACGGUAUCAAUUUUUAAAUUGUUAAAAAAGACAAAAUUACUUCCAUAUUAACAUAUCCUUAGCCCGUCAAAAAUCUGCGGGAGUUCCCUCGUCACAGCAAAGUCAAUAAAAUUUGUAGCUUUAGGAUUUCGUGCAUCGUUAACACUGUUAAAAACAGACAGACGGACAAACAGGUAUUGUUAUAGAGAUAAGACCUGUAUUCUAUUAAAAAUGGUAUCUGUAUGGCUACUUUGUCCUAAAGAUGCCCUUGAUAUGUACGAUAGGUGAAGCCAGCUAACCCAUGGAAUUUUCCGUGACCAAUAUUAUGGUGCUCAUUAUGCGUACACUUGCCAUGCAAGUGUAUGUAUAAUGAGCAGGUGAAUUUCUGCGGAUAUUUUUUAGGCUAAAUGCUAAUACAUAUAAAUUGCAUAGCCAUGUUUAGUCUCAAGUGAACCUUUUUCGUGUAAGAUAUUGGUCGUCCCCUGACCCUCUCAAUAAAUUACACCUCAACUUAGUUUCCGUUUUGGUUUAACGUGGGCUAACAUGGGUCAAGCUUUUGGGUUUAAUUUUUUGUAUUGUGGGUUGAAAAUAGAUAUUCAUAGCUCCUAUAAAAGAAGAGUAUUUACUCAAUUUACACUUAUUUCCUGAAACAUCUAUAUAGCAAACAUUAUGAGUGCUUAUGAAGAUAUGUUUGAGGAUAAAGUUGUACUACUGCUUUUACUGUACAUGUCUAGAAAAAGGAAAGAAAGAUGGCGUUUGUUAUGCAAUUUAUUCAAUUCUAUAAAUCCAAAACUUUUGCUACUUUGUGUUAGGUAUUAGAAAUAACAUCUUUCCUUUUUAUACUUUUAUCUGUUUUAAUGCUUAUCAUACCGGAUUGAUAAUUUUGACAUUCUUUAUGUUUAAAAGUAUUUCUAAACUUUAUUUCUUUCUCUUUUACAAAAUAUGAUUUUUAUUUACAUAUACAUCAAAUUAUUGCUAUCCUUUGAUGCUUUUUACCCCCAUUUUAACCCAUCCAACCUUAGAAAAAAGGAUCAAUUAAUUUUAUUUAAAAUAUUUUUUGUACCUUCAAAAUACGCUAAUUGAUGUAGUCACUUGAAACCUGUUUGGGAUAAUGAAAGUACUACCUUAUGUAAAGCAGCUAAAGCUUGGUUUGAAGCAUUUCGUAAAAUAUUGAUGACGUAUUGUUUUACCAGUCCCAAAGCUUGUGUUAAACAUUGCUUGAAGCGCGCUCCGUAAACCGAAGAUUCUUUAUACUCUGGCUAUAACAGAAAAAAAGUCAAAUAUUUUUGGCCAUCCUCACAGUGAUAUCACAACGUGAAAAGACUGAGUUACAGUUAUUUCAUAUUAUUUCAUAUAAGAACUGAUUAUUCAGUCAUCUUAGCCUAUUAUGCAUUAUAUUCUGCCGACUGCUGGAACAUUUGCUCCAAGAACAGAAGUUCUUGGGUUCAAACCCUGGUUGACUUAUGCCAGAGACUGUAAAUGUGAAUCAAUCCUUUCAGCUUAUUGUUUGGCAUGAGAAUAUACAGUUGCCUAGUUCAUUGAUUGCUGCGCUUGCACAAAUUAGAGCUUAAUUAAAUGCACUAGGACCAUCUUCACAGGAUUAUAUUGAAAACAGAACUAAUGAGGCUAUCCUGGGUAAAUAAUAUAUAUGAUUAUUUUUGCUGAAUAUGCGUGACAAAUUAUCAUCAUGGUGGAAAAUGAUCUUUUAUCGCCAACACAUACAGCUAUUAACUACAACCUUGCAUUUAUCCUAAAGUUUACAUAACAUGGGAAUUUUGUGUCCUGAUUCACAAUAAUUUGUUGUGGAAGGCCAAUCAUGGAAAUAAUUACAUCUAACUUUCAGCUCUCUGUUCAACUAACAAAAAUAAUUAAAAAAAAUUCUACUUACAUGUGAAUCAAUGUAAGAUAUAGACUCGUCUAUUUUUUUCAGUAAAGGUAAAAAAGAUUCUCCAGUCACUGACAUUGUGGAACUAUUCAAUCUCUAAAUUUAACAAAAAUAACAUAAACAGCAAUAAUGAUUGCACCAUCAACAAUAAUAGUGACUAUGUGAUGUUAAAAUUAAAUUUUCAGAAGCAGCCAGGUUAAGCUUAAUUUUUCUAUUAAAAAAUAGAUGCUUUUUAGUGAAAGUUUCUUGUCAGGUAAACAGGAAUACAACAGAAAAUAUGGGGUGUGAUCAUCCAACUGUGGAUUUAAAUGUGUGAACAUAGUCUACAUUACAGAAACUUCAAGGUAAUGACAAAUCUCAGUUUUGUGAAAUUCUGGUACGGGUACGGUAAUUUUGAUUAAGUAUAAUGUUUUAAACGAAUUUUCCUAAUUGUUACCUAACAAGCUGCCCAAAGAGUUGAAAUAUACCAAGGAACCCUAGAUGACAUUUCUUUGUUUUAUUGCAAGUUCAUACAUUGAGAAAGGUAAGCAAAAAAUAAAAAUUUCUCAUUAAAUUUGGUAAAAUGAAAAAGUAUGAAAGUAUAAAAUAUGCAGAAUUUACCCAAUUCAGACAAAGAACCGAAAUUUAAGAUUUAAGGUGGCAGGAGAAGUGUUUUGCUCUUUUAUUAUCAUCUAAUUGGUUAAGAUCUUCAGGUGAAAUAUCUAUUCUGUAGGAAUCUGUUUUUCAUGGUAAAAACUACAUAGAAAAUAUUACUCACAUGCUUUAUAGAUUCAUAUGAACUGAAAUAAGAUAAUCUAUUUGAAAUAUUUUCUGCUUGGUCCAUUAGAUUUGCCUAAACAAAUAUAUAGUAAAUAAUAAUAAAUAAAUAAAAACUACUCAAUCAGGCCCAUGCAAAAAUCCACUUACACAGAAAAAUAAUGGAAAAAAUAGGUUGUUUUAGGUCUUUUGCUGACAUCAACAGUGCAUAAACAAAAAUAAAAUUGGCGAAACUUGUUUAUCCGUUGCCUCUAGUGUGCAGAGCUGAAAUGCUGAUGAGCAAAAUCUAUAAUGUGCUUUUGACAAAGGGUUAAGGAGAGAUAUAAAGGCUUAAAAAUCUUGCCCAGGUUUGGGAAACUUACCAAAUUUGGUUCCAAGUGGUCCCUAGUUACCCCCCCCCAGUGAAAAAUGACUGACGUCACCACUUUAUUUCCAAGUUUUUUGGCCUCAAAGUUUAAAGUGCACUGUGAUGGUAUUAUUUUAAACAGACACAGAUAGUACCUGAUCUUGUAAGGACUGUUCACAAGCAUCAUGAAGAGCUCUCGUUUGUGUGGAAACAAAAACAUGUUGUUUUUCUAACUUUUCAAGAUGACUGAGAACUUUAUCAACUUCUUUAAGAAUGGCAUCACAUUUAGAAACAUACUGCAACAAUUCAUCCUCAUAAUUCCUGUAAAUAAAAUUAUCAGUAAACACAAAAUCCAUUUGAAUCCAGUUAUGGCAUAAGUAACAAAAAAUACUAUUAAAAAUAUUACUGUUUUACAGUAGUAUUUAACAAUCUAGAAAAUGUGUUUUUUUAACAUCUUAAUCAAAUUCAUAGGUAAAGUUUUUAACUCCACAAAUACCUGUAGUUUUGUUCUUGUUCUUUUUCCAUUUGAGCUUCUACUUGAGAAAACCAGGAGAAAAACUAUAGGUAACAAUAAUAAUAAGGCACAAUUUUUUGGGAACAUUAUUUCACAAGGAACGAUUUCCUAAAAAUUUCAGGGAUUUGGUGCAUUUGAGACAAUCAUUAGAAGAAGCAAAGUAUCAAAAAUAUUGUUGUUAAGUCAAACUGCAGCAACAGAAAAGAGUUUUAAUUUUCGAGCCUUAGCAUUAUUUUUUAAGAGUUCUGACACGGAAAUAUUUUCAUAGAUGACCCCUUUAUAUAUAUUGUUCUCCUCAAUUAAAAUUUUUGGAUUCAAUUAAAAACUGAGAAGUUCCAAAAAUUAAUCCCCUUAAAUAUAGUAAGAGCCCAUAUGAAUUCACAAAAAAUUUACAAGCCUGUAAUAUUUAAACUUCUUUAGCUUGUAAUAGAUAUUUGAAUUCCAAAAUAAAAAGUUUUAUUUUUUAUGUUACCUGUUGUGCGUUCUCAAUUUUUCUUGUCCCCAGAUCCAAACUUGCAAUAUGUCGCGAAAGCUCGUCAUCUUGAGAAAGGCUUUCAUUGAGCUUUUUUUCAACACGAAACUAAAAAAAAAGACAAUCAAUGUCAUCAAAGACCUAAAUAAAUUAUAGAAACAGCUGUGCAUAUAUGAGGUUUUAACUAAUUACAUUCGUGAAACUGCACAUUAGCUUCAUAAGUUUUGCAAAGAUGAUAAAUUGAGUGGGACUUAAAUUCACAACCUGUUUGUCAAGUAAUUGCUCUACUGUGCUAAUAACUAAAUACUAUCUCCAUAGAGGUGAGGAUACUCUAUAAUCAGAUUUUCCAUAGUAAAUACACCUUUUAUGGGAGAGGCAUACAGUGUAAAUAAGGAAAUAAUGUUGGAAUUUAAUUAAAAGAUGCUUUAAAACUAUAUUUUGCAAUCUAUACAAGUUAAUAACCUUAAUACCAUGUAUAGAUUGUUGAAUUCAUUUGAAAUAAAAAGUAGUAAAAAUAUUUCAAACUUAAAUCUCCUUUGUUUGUCAAGCAAUUGCUCUACUGUUUUAUUAACUCGAUACUAUCUCCCUAUCAUAUGCGGGUGAAGAUACUCUAUAAUUAGAUUUGCCAUAUUUGUUAAUCUUUUUUUAUGGAAAAGGCAUACUCAAUGGACCCAGGUUUUAAGUCCAUCACCAGCUUAUAUUAUAGAAACAAUGCUGUAUUAAUACCUAUUAAAGGUCAUACACCAAAUUAAUCUGUAGCUUUAUUUACUUAAUUUUUGUGGUUCUAUUUACCUUUUUAUUUUAAAAAAUUGAAGAAAAGAAUUAAUAACAAAAAUAAAAAAAACUUGUAAAAAAAAUGGCUGUCCCAGCAUAACUAAUAUGUGGAAUAAAAUAUUCCCUGAAAGCAGAGAAAAUACAAGUAGCAUAUUGUGAUGUGGUAAUAAGGGCCAACAUUUUUGUUUGUACAAAUGUGAUGACAAGGUACCUUAUCAGCAACUGGAUUGGUACAAUGUAAAUAAGGAAGUAACAGUGAAAUUAAAUAAAAAAGAUGCUUUAAAACUACAAUUUGCAAUUUAUACAAGAUAUUAACCUCAAUACCAUGAAUUGAAUUCGUUUGAAAUAAAAAAUGGUGAAAAUAUUUCAGCCUUAAUUCUACUUUAGUGAAAAGAACUUGUUUAAUUUUGUCAAACUUUGACAUGACAAACAGUAACACCAUAUUAAUUAAAUCUAAAUUACAUUUUAAAUUGGUUUACUGAAAAAAAUGAUCCAAGCCAAAUUUAAUGCUGCAAGACAUGUAUAAUAACAAAACAAUAUUAACAAUUUCUAUAAUUUUAAUAUUAUUGUUCCCAUAACAGUCAGCAAUAUUAUAAUUGCUUAGUUAAAAUAUUAUAAUUGCUUAGUUAAAUUAAUUAAUUUCAUGCUUCAGAUAUAUAAAAAAAACAUCUAAUAGACAAAAUGACAAUAGGAAACCUACAAUAGAAACCAACUGAAAUACCAUAUAAUUAAAGUUUAAUAUUAUUAUUAAGGGAAUUGUAGAUUUUAAUACACUGGUAAGCAGUUCAAACAAAACUGUUAUGGUAAAAACAGUGUUAGCAUUGUCUUAGUAACAUAUAUAAAAACAAAUACAUAGCAGCAAUGACGAAAUACAAAAACAACGGAAGUAAAUCUACUUUGAAAUUUUCAGACAGAAUUAACCUCAUAUCAUCAGUAGAAGAUUUGAGGCCAGUUGUUGGCGAACAAGAGGGUGUCAAACAAAAAACAAGUAAAAGCUACCCGUUGUCUAUAAAAAUAUCAUACACAGAACAAAACAUGAAAAGGUACCCUGAGAGUACUCAAAGAAUUGAAAAAAUUGUAAAGGAUAUUGCACAGGAAAAGUUGAAGACCAAAACAUUACUUGAACUAUCGAAAGAAUGCCUUAAACAAGAUUGUAAUGAUUUAAUUUAUUUUGCUUGACAUGACUUUAAGAUAUUGAAUGUUUAUUUACAUGGGUCUUCUGAUCACCCUACAUGAUAUAAUUGGUUGUAAUCAAUGCAGAAGGACUUGAUAUGGACUUAAAAUAACUUGCAUCAGUAACUAAUAAAUAUUUAAUUGUAAAUAAUGUUUAUAAUUUACUAUUGUAAGAAAAUUGGUGCUUAAUAGUUAUUAGUAUUUUUAAUACAUAGUUGCUUUGUAGAUUUAUUGUAUAUACCUGUGCUCCUUACAUAGAUUAAUUUUCAUAAAUUGACUAAAAAUCUUUUGUGCUUGCACUAAUGACGUCCUCAAAACUCCUGAAAAUUCACUUAGAACAAUUUAGAGUACCACACAUUUUAGAGAAUUUUACAAUGAAAGUCUAAAAAGACUGUGUUCUUACUGAGACUUUCCAUAAAGAUACUAUAUUUCACAUCUGUCAACAAAAUAAUAAAAGCAUUUUUUUGACAUAGCAGAAACCACCCUGGUUGGGUGCACACAUAAAUAAAGAUUUUCAAAAUUUCACCUUUGAGAAUGCCUCAAAAUGAACUCUCCUAUCCUUUUAUGUAACUUUAUUUGAGUGUUUAGUUAUAAGCAAUUAAAAGUGUAUUAUAAGAAAAAUGCACCUUUUUUAUAACAAAACUAUUCAGAGAGCAAUACCUAUUUUGUACAUUUUGUAUUUUUGUACAAAAAAUCCUCUGUUCAAAUUUUGCAGGUGUUCAUAUGGUUCGACACUCCCUGCCUACUUGAUACAAAUCUAAUUUGUCAGUAAACUUUUUACAUUUUGACCGUGGAAAAAAAUCCUUUCACUGGAUGAUAAAGCUUUUUCUGUAUCAAAUUCUUAUCACCAGUGUCGCAAGGCGAGCUGCAACAAUUAUUUCCACUAUAUACAUCAACAUUUGUAUAGGAACUUUGGCUGGUAUUUACACUAUGAUCAUUGUUAAUAUUGACAUUAUUUCCAACAAAUCUGUUAUCAAAAUAUGAUAAAAGUGAUAUUGUACGGUAGUGAGACAUGGGCAUAUAUUGUACGGUAGUGAGACAUGGGCAGUGAAGCAGGAAGAUCUUGACCGUUUAGAAAGAAAUGAUAUGAGAAUGGUUAGGUGGAUGUGUAACACCAGUCUGAGAGACAGAAAGAGUUCAGAUAAGCUAAAAAGCAGGCUAAGUAUUCGUAGAAUUAAAGAUGUUAUCCAGAUAAAAAGAUUAAAUUGUUUGGGGCACUUGGAAAGAAUGGAGGGAGAUAAUUGGGUAAGAAAGUGUAGAGACUUGAUAGUUCCUGGGGCAAAACCCAGAGCCAGACCGAGAAAGACUUGGCAGGAGGUAAGGACAGACUUGAUACAGAGGAAGUUGAGUUUAGAUCUAACACAGUCUAGAUCAGAUUGGAAGAGGGUCAUUAAUAUACCCCAUCCAACUUAUGUAGCAUCAUGGAAAAAGCAUGUUAAGCUAAGAAUGAAGAUGAUGAUGAUCCCUUAGUUUUAUUUCCACAUUUGAGAAAGAAACUUAAAAUUGUAUGUAUGUAAAAAAACUCCCUUACAUUAUUUUAAUACAUGACUUAAAUUUUUAUAUAUAUGGGUAUGGAAAGUGGUUUAAACCAGGAGCUAUGAUAACACUCACUCACCCAUAUUGAAUCGCAGGCAAGGGAAAUCGAAACCCGGUCUCCUCUCAAAAAGUGCAAAAGUUAUAACUACUAAGCUGUAGUACCAAUAAAAGGUAAGGCACCAAUAAAGUUUGUAGGGAACCAAAAUGAGAAUGAUGCUAAAAAUAUCACAAAAUGGCUAUUUGUUGGCUUCAAUCUAUAUCUUGGAAUUUUAUUACUUUUAUUACACAUUCUCAAAUUUAUCACUUAAAAAAACACUAAACUUAGGAUCCCACAAAUAGAGUAAUCAUAGUUUUUAAUUAUUUCAAUUAUUGUUAGGCGAAUAGUGCAAUCGUUUAGGUCCCAAACAAUCCAUUCAUCUAGAAUACCUUAUAGGGAUUAUCUCCACCAUCAUUUCACAUUUUAAAAAAAUUGAAACUAUCAUGAUCGUUUCAAGAUCGUAUCAUCCUUUUUUAACUUCCUUUACAGAUCAUUUCAUGAAACGAACCUGAAGGGAAUUGAAACGAUUUGGAAACAAUUUAUUUUGUUUUUUAAGCUCAAAAAUGAGUCCAGAAUUGCGAAAAGAAUGUGUAUUUAUUUAGGGUUUGUGAAUAUAUACAAUAUAGAAUGGAGGCUGCUAUGAGACUGAAUGUGAGGCAACUACAUAAAGACAGACAGUGAUACAAGAUGACAGACGUUCACAGUGUAGACAUAUGAUACAUGUAAAUGUAACACAAAAGUUUUCUGUAGAAACCAUUCCUGAUCUUCAUUUAAUUUUUCGAAUGUAUGUACCGCUGCUCUAUUUUAGAUUAAGAAUUUUAAAUAAAUAAUUUUAAUGCUACGAAAGACUUUAAAUAUUGUCAACUAAACUAUAUAUAGUAAAAAGAUUUUACACUUAAAUUUAGAUUUUCUUAAAAGACUGCACAAAAAACAUUUAAAGGAACAAUAAACGUUUUUAUCAAAAUACCUUUUGUCUUUUUUAUUAUUUAAGUGGAAGAAGAAUCGCUGUAUAAAUUUCGAAACAGCACAAGAAUAAUUUCUUGCUGCAUAACUUCUAAAAACAAGUCUUUUCGCCCUUGACAGCUAGUUAUUUUACUAAUUCGAAACAAGUGAGACUAAUAAUUAUUAUUUUCCUUCACAACAAAAAAUAAUAACUGCGUGUGUGAUGCGAAAAUACAUAAAAGAAUAUGCUUGUCGUAACAACCUAUUUGUUGUUAUUUUUUAUAAUUUUUUUGUUGCUGAUUCGAACAUACAUUCUCGAAAACAUUAUUUUUAUUUCCCCGACCCACCGACUGUAAGCUGCUAAUAUUAGCUGUAGAGCAACUAAUUAAGUUGGAGUCACCUUAUGGAAAAUAAAGUAACUUUGACAAUUGCUGUUGUGAAUAUGAAUUACGAGAGCAAUUUUUUGCCGCUUCUUUUGUCGUUUCUUUGCUGCCAUGCUAUAUCCCUAAUUCGGAGGGCUGUAUAUAGUUGAUGGGAAUACUAUCACCAGCAGAAGUAGAUAUUUUAAAUAUAUAUACUGAGAAUGUGUCUCAGAGGCUAAGGUCACCCCCCAAAAAAUAAUUGGUUAGCGUCACCAGACCGACUCACUUUGAAAGGCGAAAGUUGAAUAGAAUUUGUCGAAUCGAAUUUGUAAAAAAUAAACCAAACAAUCCACAAACAAUCUUCGACACGCAACAAAAUCCACCAUUUACCUUUUCAGCGGUCAUCCAAAUUACAGUUGUUACGUCCGAAUGUUAUUUCGAUUCGGUGAUUCGGUUCAGCCUUGUUGCUGUAGCGAUGAUUGACAUUUUGCUUAAAUGACGAAUCACAUUUGUGCUACAUCCGCCAUUUUUAAAAUUUCGCAGGGUGAAAACAAACCUAGUUUGUAGGGGGAAGAAUGCUAAAAUAUGUGGAAAUGGAAGAAUAAUUAGCUAACGAAAGGUAACCACAAUAAAAAUCUGUCUGGAAAUGAUGCUUAGCUAUCUAGAUUUAGCUCCAAAAAAUUAUAUGUGCUUAAACUUCCUAUCAUUGUUCUUACAACUCCAAAAUGUGUCUAUCUCUGCACUUUCUUCACCUAAAUACGGAAACUUUUCACCUCAAAAAAAUUGUUAUGACGUCAACCGAAUCGCCGAAUAGGGGACUGUGCUGUGCUACUCAGUGCUAUAUUUUCCUGCUUCACAUUUUUACGGCAAUACAAGCGAAAACCAUGGGAACAACAUUGACUGACAAAAAUUGAACUUGAAACGGAGGCUAAAAAUACAGCUGGCGUACAUUUAAAACAAAUAACAAAAUAUGGCUGCGAAAUAUAGUACUUUUGUAAUUUUAAGGGAAAAAUUUUUAUCUGACCGACCGACUCACUUUUGUAAUUAGAAAUGACGCUAACCAAACAUAUUUUCGAAGGUGGCCUAACCGUAUAUGCAUUUUAUUAUCCACUCAGUUUUUCAGAAUUUGUCUGCACAUUUUCAUUUACAAAUAACAAAAAUAACUAUUUUGUUUAUAUCUACCUUUUCUGGUAUUGGUCUUUGUGUAUAUGUAUUAAGCUCUACGAUACUUUCUUUCUGUUUGUCUGUAAGGGGGGCCAAGGAAGUACUUCUUGAAUCCCAUUGCGACAAUUUAUCCAAGUAUUUCUUCUCAACCAAACUAUCGCCAGCCUUCGCUGCCAUGUUGAUUCGUCAGUUCUCGGAAUUAUCAAAUGGGAUGCCAAAAUUAACAUUUUAGCGUUUUUUGCGCGCUAAAGGCCUUUUUUAACAAACCUCAUACCCAGGGGCACGUGGUAACAGAAUAACGAACAAGAACAGAAGAUAAAAGGGGAACAUUGUUUAGAAAAUUAUUUUUAGGUCUUAUAAUAUUUUACAAACUAAAGCAUUUUCUCGUAAAAAAAGGCAAGUAAGUGCCUCAUCUUAAAUAAACAUUCGCGCUCACCCCUCAUCCCCAAUUUAACAUAUAGCGCUAUUCUGCGCAUUGAAUGCUAGGCUUCUUCUCUGUAAGCGUUACCCACAGACAGGUUUUUCCCCAAUGUAAAAAAUCCAACAAGCGCUGGGGACGAGAUUAAUAAGACAGCGAGAUUCACUGGUAUAACAAAAUAGAAGAACAAGAGACCUGCAUAAUAACUUUUUGAUAUAAAGUAAAGAUGGCAAUAUCGUGUCAAGAAAUGCCAAAAAGACCUGAGGACGAGAGUGCUUGUACAGUCCUAAUUGUAUAUUCACAAAAAUCAUUCCUUCUUUAAAAAAACACCACACAAUCUCAUUCCCAGGUUGUGGCUAUCGGAAUCGAGCUGGCGGAAUUGGGUACAAUUAUAGGUGUAAUAGUUUUCCCAAAACAAAUUAUCCGACGUUGCUGGCAAGAAAAGAACUUUACAGAGAUAUAAUUUUUUUACCUAAACAAUUAUGAAAUGGUACUUUGAAUAAAUCUUAACAGAGCACCACAGCAAAUAUCUUGUAUACAACAUAAUCAAUUAGCUAAGAAUCAAUUGAGCAAAUGUUUAACAAAACCCAAAAGCGAAGAAUUGAAAAAUAUAUCAAUAGUUAUUAAAUUAUUGUAGAAUUUGUUAGGUUUACUAUUCAAACUUUUUUUUUCAGAUUAGCUUGUUUCCUGACGUUUCGAACGCUACAAGUAAUUGUGUAUCAAGAAAACAGGAAUAAAUGAAAAACAAUAUAAAACAAACAAACAAACAAACAAAAAAACAAACAAACCAAAAAAAAAAAAAACGAGGGCGGGCGGGAAGGCAGGCGAUGGAAAGAAGAACGCAAAUGAGUAAACAAUAUUUUUCUUCUAUUUCUAGAAAACGAUUUCACAUGGAAUCGUCAUUAAUGCGUGUAAAUAUACAAUCUAUAAAUAGAAACAAACUGACAAAAACAGGACUGAAUUCCAAUACAAAUAUUAUUACCGUAAAAAAAUAUUCUACGUUGUAAAUACAGGUUUUUUACAGGAAACGCAUUUUACAAUCUUUUCUUCGUGAAAGAAUCCCACGUUAAAAACACUGCAAAAAUAUAAAUGACCUUUAAAAAUAUAAAAAAUAACGAAACGGCGCAUUUCAAAAGGUUACAUCGGUUCGUAUCAAAUACAUUUAAAAGCCAUACAGCAGUCGCCCAACCUAUGUUUUUACACUACUGACUAAUUUAUAUCAAUAAGUUAGUUCUAAAAAAAAAUAUUUCAUCAGCUACACAAUCUGGACAGGUCCCUUACAUUGUUCGCAGCAAUUAAACGUAACAUGAUAGUUGGUGGAUAGAAAAUGACUGAUCCGGUUGUGAGCUAGAUAAUCGUGCCUCAUCCGAGUGAGUUCUUCGGUUUGUAUACCUGUAUUAAUGACAACCUGGAAAAAAGAAAAGGAAAACAGUUUAUAAUACUCUUAUGUCAAGUACACCUAUUUUUUAAAUUUAUUACAGUACUCCGCACAUGGUUGCCACUCCUACAGGGCUGCAAAGGUUGUUCUUGAUGACGUAAAAACAGCAAUUUUGAACUUAACAUAUAUUUCGCGAACAAUGUAGCACAAAAUACCAUUAUGAUGAUAAAUCUUGAACUAGCAAAUUUGGAAUAAUUGAAUAUAAAGAGAUUUAAGGAGAAAGUAAUGUUACAUUUGGAGAAACACUAAGAGGUUUUGAGGAAGUUUGGUAAUCCAGUUUUCCAUUUUUUUAGCGUAAAAGGAAAUUCGGUGAUCCUAUUCUCAGAUCAGCGUAAUAAGAAACUCGUGUAGGUGUAAGUACAACCGCUAAAUUUAACUUGUAUACUUAGCGGGAAAAAUAAUGGAGAACUGAAAUUAAAUUUUUGUUUUACCUCAUGAGCCAACUGUUCGGCUGGCGUGAGUUCAUCAGCCUCGACUAUAAUAUUAUUCCUCAUGCUGGUCUUCCCUUUCUCUUUCUCCAUUACAGAAUGUUUAAUCUCAAUCAUAUGAGGCUGAUACUCAGCAGGUGUUUUCUCUUUAUCCUCUGUAAUGAUUUCAACUAAAGCUUCUGCUAAAUCGUGAUUCAUGAAAGCAACAUCGAUGGUGGUCAACGAUUGUUGAGAAUCGAGAGAGGGGUCUUUGCAGCCUAACAAUUCAGCUACAGAUAUAAGUCCUCUAAAAAACACAUGAGAAUAAUUGUCAAGCAUAAAGACAGAAAAUUAGAACAUGUGAAGAAUUUUAGUACUUUCAUUUUCUUCCUAUAAGUUAUAAAAGAAUUUUAUGUUUGCUAACUUCCUAAUAACUUCCUCUUUUUCUAGUUUGGUUGUUUGGCUAUUGUGACUGGGUUCUUAAAACAGAAGUUAUAGAAUAUUAUAUAUUCUUUUUUCUUCAGUUUCGCAACAUUGACUGUAAUAAGCGCUUAAAAUGCUCCACAUGCCCGGCUUUUACGCUGUCUUUUCUUUUCCUACACAUUUUCGUAGCAUUUUUUUCUAGAUUGUGUAGAUUGUUAAUGAUUGUUUAAGUUUGUUCUACCGUUUUUUAUAAAGUUUUUUAUGUUGUAAAUUCUUCUUAUUAACUUCUAUCGUUCUGCAAUGUUGAACACGCGUCAUCUAGGUAGAGUAAAUUCUUCCAAACAUCUCUAUUAUAAUAGCCGUAUUCCGUCUGUCCGUCUCUGCGCGGACCCCCCGCUGAGAUAGAAAAUGAUGUUACGGAAACACGAAUAUCAAAUACGAUAUAUUUUUAUCCACUUUGUUGCGACGGGUAAAUAUAAUGGACGGCGAAACCGUGGAUUUUUCCACGGGCUAACGACUAGUCUCUUUAAUAAUAGCCGUAUUCCGUCUGUCUGUGUGUCCGCGAAAGCCGUGUCCCGUAACGGAAACACGAAAUUUUUAAAAUACGCACGAAUAUCAAAUGCGAUAAAUUUUUGUCCACUUUGUUGCAACGGGUUAAUUUAAAAGACGAGCGAACGCGACGGGGGCGACCCCGUGGAUUUCUCCACGGGUUAACGACUAGUCUAUAUUAUAAUACCGGUAUACGUCUGUCCGUCUGUCACGCAAAAUGGUAGCUUAUCUGCGCAAGUAGCGAGAUGCACGCAGUACGGUAUAAAAAGGACGGGCGAACUCGUGGAUUUUUUUUUCACUGCUUACCUUCUUGUUGCAUUGUUCAAAGCUCUGAUUUUUGAAUGUUCUUCUAAUAAGCUUUGCAGAGCAGUAUGUGACUCGCGAUAUUUAUAAUACAGUGCUGACUUCCAACGUGCUAGUUCAUCACCCAUUACCCUACAUAAAGAUGAAGUAACCAGUUAUACACCUGCUUCGUUCACACUACUUAGGAGUCACAAAAUGAAACAUUUAGACUAAACGUCAAUUUGAUGUUUUGAUUAUACUCCUCAUUCCUUGCCUUUAACAUUCAAACCAAAGAAUUCACGUAUCAAUCUCUGAAACUAGAAACACUCGGACAUACGCUUCUGUGAGGAAUGCAAUGCCAAAAGUACUUUUUGUACUCAGAAAAAUCGAUGUUUGACGGUAUAAAAUAUACCUUUUGAUUUAUACACCACCCCUUAACAGUACAAGUAGUAUUUGAAAAAAAAAACAUUAUUAGGGAUAGGAAC